CCUACGUGAUGCAGCAGUGAGGAAUAUUGGUCAAUGGGCGCGAGCCUGAACCAGCAAAGUAGCGUGAAGGAUGACUGCCCUACGGGUUGUAAACUUCUUUUAUAACGGAGUAACGUGCGGCACGUGUGCCUUUUUGUAUGUACUUUAUGAAUAAGGAUAGGCUAACUCGGAGCCAGCAGCCGCGGUAAUACGGAGGAUCCGAGCGUUAUCCGUAUUUCUUGGGGUGAAAGGGACCGUAGAUGGGUUGUUAAGUCAGUUGUGAAAGUUUGCGGCUCAACCGUAAAAUUGCAAUUGAUACUGGCAGCCGUGAGUACAGUUUAGGUAGGCGGAAUUCGUGGUGUAGCGGGGAAAUGCUUAGAUAUCACGAAGAACUCCGAUUGCGAAGGCAGCCUACUAAACUGCCACUGACAUUGAUGCUCGAAAGUGUGGGUAUCAAACAGGAUUAGAUACCCGGGUAGGC
This 460-nucleotide ribosomal RNA is filed under the name uncultured bacterium. Its description in RNAcentral is "partial 16S ribosomal RNA". It matches the Rfam family "Bacterial small subunit ribosomal RNA", at positions 338 to 795 of the family's 1533-position model. The record is from RNAcentral.